RNAcentral lists this long non-coding RNA (200 nucleotides) under Musa acuminata (dwarf banana). RNAcentral describes it as "long non-coding RNA (MACU_LNC010593)". The record is from RNAcentral. Lineage: Eukaryota; Viridiplantae; Streptophyta; Magnoliopsida; Zingiberales; Musaceae.
GAGCUCAAAACUGUCAAUUCCCGGAAUUCCGGGAUCAGGCGGUUGCACCUCCUGACUGGGGCGGUUGCACCGCCUGGCAGAGCUCGAAGACUGAGCCUCUAGGCGGUGCCACCUCUGUCAGGGGCGGUUGCACCUCUCUGCCAGAGCUCGAAGACCGAGCUCAGGCGGUUGCACCUCUUGACUGGGGCGGUUGCACCGCC